GCGCAGCAGUCGAGAAUUUUUGACAAUGGGGGAAACCCUGAUCGAGCGACGCCGCGUGGAGGAUGAAGGUCUUCGGAUUGUAAACUCCUGUCAUUGGGGAACAAGGUGCAUACGUUAACUGCGUGUGUAUUGAUAGUACCCGAAGAGGAAGGGACGGCUAACUCUGUGCCAGCAGCCGCGGUAAUACAGAGGUCCCAAGCGUUGUUCGGAUUCAUUGGGCGUAAAGGGUGCGUAGGCGGCGCGGUAAGUCGGGUGUGAAAUCUCGGAGCUUAACUCCGAAACUGCAUUCGAUACUGCCGUGCUUGAGGACUGGAGAGGAGACUGGAAUUUACGGUGUAGCGGUGAAAUGCGUAGAUAUCGUAAGGAAGACCAGUGGCGAAGGCGGGUCUCUGGACAGUUCCUGACGCUGAGGCACGAAGGCCAGGGGAGCAAACGGGAUUAGAUACCCGUGUAGU
RNAcentral lists this ribosomal RNA (455 nucleotides) under uncultured organism. RNAcentral's name for it is "bacterial SSU rRNA". It matches the Rfam family "Bacterial small subunit ribosomal RNA", at positions 346 to 794 of the family's 1533-position model. The record is from RNAcentral.